This 148-nucleotide non-coding RNA is filed under the name Pan troglodytes (chimpanzee). Lineage: Eukaryota; Metazoa; Chordata; Mammalia; Primates; Hominidae. The record is from Rfam by way of RNAcentral.
GCCAGGCGUGGUGGUGCAUGCCUGUAAUCCUAGCUACUCAGGAGGCUGAGGCAGGAGAAUCGCUUGAACCUGGGAGGUGGGGGUUACAGUGAGCCAAGAUUGUGCCACUGCUCUCCAGCCCGGGCGACAGAGCGAGACUCUGUCUCAA